This is a non-coding RNA of Lactuca sativa (garden lettuce), 381 nucleotides long. NCBI's taxonomy places the organism in Eukaryota, Viridiplantae, Streptophyta, Magnoliopsida, Asterales, Asteraceae. The record is from RefSeq and is a predicted model, not a curated record.
UCUACAGUUAUAUACAAACAGAUAAGAAGAUCAACCCUGAGCUGCAUUAUUUCACCUUUCAAACCAUCUCAUCUGCCACAAACAAUUUCUCAAGCACUAAUAAGCUAGGACAGGGUGGUUUUGGAUCAGUUUAUAAGGGAAAAUUAGUUGAUGGGCAAGAGGUUGCUGUAAAACGACUUUCAAGAAGCUCUGAACAUGGAGUCAAGGAGUUUAAGAAUGAAACCGAAAUAGUCCAUAACCUGUCUUUUGUGAAUAUGAGUCCCUAGCUAACACAAACUCCCAAACAAUAACUCUUGGUUUGAAAUAAAACAAUGGUCCACUUUUGAGUUUUGAAGUUUUUUUUCUUCAACUUUGACCUUAAAUAUAUUUAUUUGUAUUACA